Molecule: transfer RNA, 71 nt
Organism: Camelus ferus (Wild Bactrian camel)
Lineage: Eukaryota; Metazoa; Chordata; Mammalia; Artiodactyla; Camelidae
Rfam family: tRNA
About the family: Transfer RNA (tRNA) molecules are approximately 80 nucleotides in length. Their secondary structure includes four short double-helical elements and three loops (D, anti-codon, and T loops). Further hydrogen bonds mediate the characteristic L-shaped molecular structure. tRNAs have two regions of fundamental functional importance: the anti-codon, which is responsible for specific mRNA codon recognition, and the 3' end, to which the tRNAs corresponding amino acid is attached (by aminoacyl-tRNA synthetases). tRNAs cope with the degeneracy of the genetic code in two manners: having more than one tRNA (with a specific anti-codon) for a particular amino acid; and 'wobble' base-pairing, i.e. permitting non-standard base-pairing at the 3rd anti-codon position.
Source: Rfam
GAGGGUACAGCUCAGUGGAAGAGUGCAUGCUUAGCAUGCAUGAAGUCCUAGGUUCAAUCCCUGGUACCUCG